AAGUCGUAACAAGGUUUCCGUAGGUGAACCUGCGGAAGGAUCAUUACAAAACAAAAUCCAAACCACACCAAAUGUGCUCUAUAAAUGCUGAGAAGCUGUCUUUGUGUGUGAAUGUUACUGUCUGUGUGAGGAGAAAAAUUUAUUUUUCCUCCUCGCACUCUCACACACACACACACACACAAUCCUUCUUUUCAGCAUUGUCUUUGUUUAUCAAUUUUUUCAUUAACUCCUUGUUUAACCAACAACGGAUUACAGUGUUAAAACUUGAAACAAAAAAACAAAACAAAAUGACAACUUUUAACGGUGGAUCUCUUGGCUCGU
Molecule: unclassified non-coding RNA, 321 nt
Filed under: fungal sp.
Lineage: Eukaryota; Fungi
Description: partial internal transcribed spacer region
Rfam family: Eukaryotic small subunit ribosomal RNA (bases 1-46)
Source: RNAcentral